Small nuclear RNA from Arabidopsis lyrata subsp. lyrata, 117 nucleotides. It matches the Rfam family "U5 spliceosomal RNA". From Rfam's summary of the family: U5 RNA is a component of both types of known spliceosome. The precise function of this molecule is unknown, though it is known that the 5' loop is required for splice site selection and p220 binding, and that both the 3' stem-loop and the Sm site are important for Sm protein binding and cap methylation. NCBI's taxonomy places the organism in Eukaryota, Viridiplantae, Streptophyta, Magnoliopsida, Brassicales, Brassicaceae. The record is from Rfam.
AGCCGUGUAUUGAGCACAUAGCCAACAAUUCUUUCGCCUUUUACUAAAGAAUACCGUGUGUUCUCUAUGCUAAACGGCAUACACCUAUUUUUGGAGGAGUAAGUUCAUAUGAAGUUU